GUAUAUAUAUAUAUAUAUAUAUAUAUAUGUGUGUGUAUGUGUUUAGAAAAACAAAAGAUGAAAACAGGUGUAUGAAUAACAAGCAACUGUAUUAGUUUGACGCUCGGGGAAUAUGAAAAAGUCAUUUAUGUUUCAAGCUUAUGCUCUUCAGCAGAAAGGAAUAAGAAGAAAUAAACAGGGAGAGAAUGAAAAAUCUUGUAGAUUUCAGUGAUC
Long non-coding RNA from Octopus sinensis (East Asian common octopus), 213 nucleotides. RefSeq lists it as uncharacterized. Lineage: Eukaryota; Metazoa; Mollusca; Cephalopoda; Octopoda; Octopodidae. The transcript is spliced from 3 exons. The record is from RefSeq and is a predicted model, not a curated record.